AUCUGUUAUUAUUUUUCUAUACAUUGCUAUCUUUCUUAAGUUACUUAUUAUAUACAGGCUAUACAGAGACGUGUCUACGGUCCUGUGCGAUUUAACAGAACAUGGAGUGAGUACAAGGCAGGGUUUGGAUCGGCAGAAACGGAAUACUGGCUAGGAAAUGACCUCAUUCACAAACUAACAGUGGAAAUUAAAACUGCAUUGUAUGUUGCCAUAACAUUGACUAAUGGAACAACCCUUUAUGAACGAUAUGACCAGUUCUACAUCACUAAUGACACUGAUGGCUACAGACUUAACCUGAAGGGAAACGCUACAGGGAGUCUUGGAAAUAGUAUGACGCCCCCUAAUAGAUCCUGGAAUCUCAAUGGAAUAAAAUUCUCCACAGCUGAUAGGGACAACGAUAUGUGGUCAGGAGGACCAUGUGGAACUCGGGAAGGAGGCUGGUGGUUCAAUCAUUGCUCACUAACAUUUUUGAACUCCGACUACUGGUAUCCACCGUGGGCGCCAACGGUGCCUAGUAGAUCAGAUGUCCGUGAAACUAUGAUGAUGAU
Saccostrea cuccullata (small rock oyster) is the source of this 548-nucleotide long non-coding RNA. RefSeq lists it as uncharacterized. The record is from RefSeq and is a predicted model, not a curated record. The transcript has 3 exons. NCBI's taxonomy places the organism in Eukaryota, Metazoa, Mollusca, Bivalvia, Ostreida, Ostreidae.